RNAcentral lists this ribosomal RNA (1121 nucleotides) under bacterium enrichment culture clone PAH108-P13. RNAcentral describes it as "bacterial SSU rRNA". It matches the Rfam family "Bacterial small subunit ribosomal RNA", at positions 43 to 1169 of the family's 1533-position model. The record is from RNAcentral.
GAGGCCUAACACAUGCAAGUCGAACGGGAUUCAGUAGCUUGCUCUGAUGAGAGUGGCGCAGGGCGAGUAACGCGUAUGCAACCUACCUCUUACAGGGGGAUAGCCCGGAGAAAUCCGGAUUAAUAUCCCAUGGCAUUUAUUGUCCGCAUGGAUAGUAAAUUAAAGAUUUAUCGGUAAGAGAUGGGCAUGCGUGACAUUAGUUUGUUGGUGAGGUAACGGCUCACCAAGACUACGAUGUCUAGGGGUUCUGAGAGGAUGAUCCCCCACACUGGUACUGAGACACGGACCAGACUCCUACGGGAGGCAGCAGUGAGGAAUAUUGGUCAAUGGGCGCAAGCCUGAACCAGCCAUCCCGCGUGAAGGAAGACGGCCCUAUGGGUUGUAAACUUCUUUUCUGCACCAAGAAUGGGCCUUACGUGUAAGGUUUUGACGGUAGUGCAGGAAUAAGCAUCGGCUAACUCCGUGCCAGCAGCCGCGGUAAUACGGAGGAUGCAAGCGUUAUCCGGAUUCAUUGGGUUUAAAGGGUACGUAGGUGGCCCAGUAAGUCAGUGGUGAAAUCCUGCCGCUUAACGGUAGAACUGCCAUUGAUACUGCUGGGCUUGAGUACAGUUGAGGUAGGCGGAAUGUGUAGUGUAGCGGUGAAAUGCUUAGAUAUUACACAGAACCCCGAUUGCGAAGGCAGCUUACUGAACUGUAACUGACACUGAGGUACGAAAGCGUGGGGAGCGAACAGGAUUAGAUACCCUGGUAGUCCAUGCCGUAAACGAUGCUCACUCGCUGUAUGCGAUACACAGUAUGCGGCCAAGCGAAAGUAUUAAGUGAGCCACCUGGGGAGUACGUUGGCAACAGUGAAACUCAAAGGAAUUGACGGGGGCCCGCACAAGCGGAGGAACAUGUGGUUUAAUUCGAUGAUACGCGAGGAACCUUACCUGGGCUUAAAUGCAGGACGACAGGCGUCGAAAGAUGCUUUUCUUCGGACGGCUUGCAAGGUGCUGCAUGGUUGUCGUCAGCUCGUGCCGUGAGGUGUCGGGUUAAGUCCCAUAACGAGCGCAACCCUUACCGUUAGUUACCAUCAGGUCAUGCUGGGGACUCUAGCGGGACUGCCACCGUAAGGGGAAAAG